This 916-nucleotide ribosomal RNA is filed under the name uncultured bacterium. RNAcentral's name for it is "bacterial SSU rRNA". It matches the Rfam family "Bacterial small subunit ribosomal RNA", at positions 246 to 1155 of the family's 1533-position model. The record is from RNAcentral.
UUGUUGGUAAGGUAAAAGCUUACCAAGGCUUCGAUCAGUAGCUGGUCUGAGAGGACGACCAGCCACACUGGGACUGAGACACGGCCCAGACUCCUACGGGAGGCAGCAGUGGGGAAUUUUGGACAAUGGGGGCAACCCUGAUCCAGCCAUGCCGCGUGAGUGAAGAAGGCCUUCGGGUUGUAAAGCUCUUUCAGCCGGAACGAAACGGUUACGGUUAAUACCCGUGACUACUGACGGUACCGGAAGAAGAAGCACCGGCUAACUACGUGCCAGCAGCCGCGGUAAUACGUAGGGUGCGAGCGUUAAUCGGAAUUACUGGGCGUAAAGCGUGCGCAGGUGGUUUUGUAAGUCAGAUGUGAAAGCCCCGGGCUCAACCUGGGAACUGCGUUUGAAACUACAAGACUAGAGUGUGGCAGAGGGGGGUGGAAUUCCGCGUGUAGCAGUGAAAUGCGUAGAGAUGUGGAGGAACACCGAUGGCGAAGGCAGCCCCCUGGGUCAACACUGACGCUCAGGCACGAAAGCAUGGGGAGCAAACAGGAUUAGAUACCCUGGUAGUCCAUGCCCUAAGCGAUGUCAACUAGUUGUCGGGCCUUUACGGGCUUGGUAACGUAGCUAACGCGUGAAGUUGACCGCCUGGGGAGUACGAUCGCAAGAUUAAAACUCAAAUGAAUUGACGGGGACCCGCACAAGCGGUGGAUUAUGUGGAUUAAUUCGAUGCAACGCGAAAAACCUUACCUACCCUUGACAUGUAUCGAAGCCCGCAGAAAAGCGGGGGUGCCCGAAAGGGAACGAUAACACAGGUGCUGCAUGGCUGUCGUCAGCUCGUGUCGUGAGAUGUUGGGUUAAGUCCCGCAACGAGCGCAACCCUUGUCAUUAAUUGCCAUCAUUUAGUUGGGCACUUUAAUGAGACUGCCGG